Molecule: transfer RNA, 66 nt
Filed under: Coeliodes nakanoensis
Lineage: Eukaryota; Metazoa; Arthropoda; Insecta; Coleoptera; Curculionidae
Description: tRNA-Val
Source: RNAcentral
CAAAUUAAAGCUUUUAUCAAGCAUUUUAGUUACAUUAAAAAGAAUAUUAUUAUUAAUAUAAUUUGA